AUUAGAUUAAAAACCAAUGCCCUUCGGGGCUUCCUGGUGAUUCAUGAUAACUUCUCGAAUCGCACGGCCUUGCGCUGGCGAUGGUUCAUUCAAAUUUCUUCCCUAUCAACUUUCGAUGUUUGGGUAGUGGCCAAACAUGGUUGCAACGGGUAACGGAGGGUUAGGGCUCGACCCCGGAGAAGGAGCCUGAGAAACGGCUACUACAUCCAAGGAAGGCAGCAGGCGCGCAAAUUACCCAAUCCCAAUUCGGGGAGGUAGUGACAAUAAAUACUGAUACAGGGCCCUUUCGGGUCUUGUAAUCGGAAUGAGUACAAUUUAAAUCUCUUAACGAGGAACAAUUGGAGGGCAAGUCUGGUGCCAGCAGCCGCGGUAAUUCCAGCUCCAAUAGCGUAUAUUAAAGUUGUUGUGGUUAAAAAGCUCGUAGUUGAACCUCGGGCUUGGCUAGCCGGUCCGCCUCACCGCGUGUACUGGUUUGGCUGGGUCUUUCCCUCUGUGGAACCGCAUGCACUUCACUGGG
This 517-nucleotide ribosomal RNA is filed under the name uncultured fungus. RNAcentral describes it as "SSU rRNA". It matches the Rfam family "Eukaryotic small subunit ribosomal RNA", at positions 209 to 726 of the family's 1831-position model. The record is from RNAcentral. Lineage: Eukaryota; Fungi.